Molecule: ribosomal RNA, 492 nt
Filed under: uncultured Saccharibacter sp.
Lineage: Bacteria; Pseudomonadati; Pseudomonadota; Alphaproteobacteria; Acetobacterales; Acetobacteraceae
Description: bacterial SSU rRNA
Rfam family: Bacterial small subunit ribosomal RNA
Source: RNAcentral
UAAUACGAAGAGACCUAGCGUAGUUCGGAAUUACUGGGCGUAAAGCGCGCGUAGGCCGUUGAGUUAGUUAAUUGUGAAAUCCCAAAGCUUAACUUUGGGAACUGCAAUUAAAACUGCUCGACUAGAGUUUGAUAGAGGAAAGCGGAAUACAUAGUGUAGAGGUGAGAUUCGUAGAUAUUAUGUAGAACACCAGUUGCGAAGGCGGCUUUCUGGAUCAACACUGACGCUGAGGCGCGAAAGUAUGGGUAGCAAAGAGGAUUAGAUACCCUCGUAGUCCAUACCAUAAACGAUGAUUGCUAGAUGUUGGAAAUUUAUUUUCAGUAUCGCAGCUAACGCAUUAAGCAAUCCGCCUGGGGAGUACGACCGCAAGGUUAAAACUCAAAUGAAUUGACGGGGACCCGCACAAGCGGUGGAGCAUGUGGUUUAAUUCGAAGAUACGCGCAGAACCUUACCAACCCUUGACAUGUCUGUCGCAAGUUUAGGAAACUAGAC